RNAcentral lists this ribosomal RNA (301 nucleotides) under uncultured bacterium. RNAcentral describes it as "partial 16S ribosomal RNA". It matches the Rfam family "Bacterial small subunit ribosomal RNA", at positions 509 to 807 of the family's 1533-position model. The record is from RNAcentral.
CAGUCGCCGCGGGAAUACGUAGGGUGCAAGCGUUAAUCGGAAUUACUGGGCGUAAAGCGUGCGCAGGCGGUUCGCUAAGACAGAUGUGAAAUCCCCGGGCUUAACCUGGGAACUGCAUUUGUGACUGGCGGGCUAGAGUAUGGCAGAGGGGGGUAGAAUUCCACGUGUAGCAGUGAAAUGCGUAGAGAUGUGGAGGAAUACCGAUGGCGAAGGCAGCCCCCUGGGCCAAUACUGACGCUCAUGCACGAAAGCGUGGGGAGCAAACAGGAUUAGAUACCCGGGUAGUCCUUGUCUCUUAUAC